AGAUUGAACGCUGGCGGCAGGCCUAACACAUGCAAGUCGAGCGGAUGAAGAGAGCUUGCUCUCUGAUUCAGCGGCGGACGGGUGAGUAAUGCCUAGGAAUCUGCCUGGUAGUGGGGGACAACGUUUCGAAAGGAACGCUAAUACCGCAUACGUCCUACGGGAGAAAGCAGGGGACCUUCGGGCCUUGCGCUAUCAGAUGAGCCUAGGUCGGAUUAGCUAGUUGGUGAGGUAAUGGCUCACCAAGGCGACGAUCCGUAACUGGUCUGAGAGGAUGAUCAGUCACACUGGAACUGAGACACGGUCCAGACUCCGUACGGGAGCAGCAGUGGGGAAUAGUUGGACAAGUGGACGAAGCCUG
This 358-nucleotide ribosomal RNA is filed under the name uncultured soil bacterium. RNAcentral describes it as "bacterial SSU rRNA". It matches the Rfam family "Bacterial small subunit ribosomal RNA", at positions 26 to 385 of the family's 1533-position model. The record is from RNAcentral.